Molecule: ribosomal RNA, 2118 nt
Filed under: Triticum aestivum (bread wheat)
Lineage: Eukaryota; Viridiplantae; Streptophyta; Magnoliopsida; Poales; Poaceae
Description: partial small subunit ribosomal RNA
Source: RNAcentral
AUGUCUAGCGUUGGUGUUCUUGUCUCUGAUCCAUGGCUCCAGAACCAGUUCACCCAAGUGCAGCUCCGAACGCUCCGAACAAAAUUCACUUCCGCAAAGAGAUCGGAUGCCGAGCAGGUAACUAUAAAAGAUUUGCCGCCGGUAAUGGAGAAGCUUAGGGGCAUUCAAGAGGUUCUGACUGAGGAGGAGAUCACAAAUUUUUUGAGCGAGUCUUACCCCGAUAUGGACCAGUCAAUCGAAUUUGAGCCAUUCCUUAGGGAGUACUUAAAUCUUCAAGCAAAGGGAGCCAGCAAAUCAGGAGGCAAAAAGAAAUUGAAGGGAUCAGUGUCAUUUUUGAAGGCGUCCACCACUACUCUCUUGCACGUCAUUAAUGAAUCUGAAAAAACUUCUUAUGUCAAUCAUAUCAAUAAAUUUCUCGGGGAGGACCCUUUCCUGAAGAAUUUCUUGCCAUUGAAUCCAGCAUCAAACGAUAUAUUUAAUCUUAUUGGGGAUGGUGUUCUACUUUGCAAGUUGAUCAAUGUUGCUGUUCCCGGCACAAUAGACGAGAGAGCAAUCAAUACAAAGAAGGAACCGAAUCCAUGGGAGAGGAAUGAGAACCACACUCUUUGUCUCAACUCUGCCAAGGCCAUUGGUUGUACUGUUGUUAACAUUGGGACACAGGAUCUGAUUGAAGCUAGACCUCAUCUAGUUCUUGGUUUGCUAUCCCAAAUCAUAAAGAUACAACUCUUAGCAGAUUUGAAUCUGAGGAAUACACCUCAGUUGUUGGAGUUGGUGGCUGGUGAUAACAGCAAGGAAGCAGAGGAGCUUGUCACCUUAGCACCAGACAAGAUGUUGCUCAAAUGGAUGAACUUUCAUAUCAAGAAAGCAGGGUACAAAAAAACUGUAACAAAUUUCUCUACUGAUGUUAAGGAUGGUGAAGCGUAUGCUUACCUUCUCAGCGCCCUUGCUCCCGAGCAUAGCUCAACGACCAUGAUAGAAACUACAGAUCCUAAAGAAAGGGCAAAGAAAGUACUUGAAACCGCCGAAAAGCUUGAUUGUACAAGAUAUGUAACAUCUAAAGAUAUUAAUGAGGGUUCAGCAAAUCUCAACUUGGCAUUUGUCGCACAAAUAUUCCAGCAAAGAAAUGGUCUAUCAUCGAACAAGGUGGCUCCUGUCGUCCAAGAUACCCCUGAUGAUGUUGAAGCAUCGAGGGAAGGGAGAGCAUUUCGCUUGUGGAUCAACAGUCUUGGAAUUGCAACUUACGUGAACAAUUUAUUUGAGGAUGUUAGGACUGGAUGGGUUCUUCUAGAAGUGCUUGACAAAAUUUCUCCAGGAUCAGUUAUCUGGAAACAAGCAUCGAAACCUCCAAUUAUCAUGCCGUUUAGGAAGGUUGAGAACUGCAAUCAGGUUAUCAGAAUUGGGAAGGAGUUAAAUUUUUCGCUUGUGAAUGUAGCAGGAAAUGACAUUGUUCAAGGAAACAAGAAGCUAACCCUUGCUUUCCUGUGGCAACUCAUGAGGACCAGCAUCCUACAGCUGCUAAAGAACUUGAGAUCCCACUCUAAAGACAAAGAAAUUACAGAUGCUGACAUUCUGAUCUGGGCGAAUAAUAAGGUCAAGGAAUCAGGAAAAACAUCUCACAUCGAAAACUUCAAGGAUAAGAGCUUAUCAGACGGGAUGUUCUUCCUGGAUCUUCUAAGCGCUGUGCAAAGUAGAGUUGUUGACUGGAAUAUGGUGAAGAAGGGGGAGGAUGAUGAUGAGAAGAAGAUGAAUGCAACAUACAUCAUAACUGUUGCUAGGAAACUUGGGUGCACCGUGUUCUGGUUGCCAGAGGACAUAAUGGAGGUAAAUCCCAAGAUGAUCCUCACUCUUACUGCAAGCAUCAUGUACUGGAGUCUGCAGAAGCAUGGACCUUACGAAGGCCCCGGGCCAGCAGGAUCCGCAGCGUCACAAGAAGCUCUCCCAGAAGAGGAGGAGGAGGAGGUGGUGGAGGUGGAGGAGGAGGAAGAAGAAGAAUUAGAAGCAGAAGCAGAGGCAGAGGCGGAAGCAGAAGCAGAGGCAGAGGCAGAUGCAGAAGCAGAAGCAGAGGCAGAAGCAGAAGCAGAAAAAGGAGGAGAAGAAAGCCUUGAAGAUGGUGCCUAA